Molecule: transfer RNA, 65 nt
Filed under: Cephalochlamys namaquensis
Lineage: Eukaryota; Metazoa; Platyhelminthes; Cestoda; Pseudophyllidea; Cephalochlamydidae
Description: tRNA-Ile
Source: RNAcentral
GCCAAUAGGGCUGCUAAUGCAGGCUACUUUGAUAUAGUAGACUAAAAACAAAAGUUUCGUUGGUA